RNAcentral lists this ribosomal RNA (228 nucleotides) under uncultured archaeon. RNAcentral describes it as "partial 16S ribosomal RNA". It matches the Rfam family "Archaeal small subunit ribosomal RNA", at positions 23 to 246 of the family's 1478-position model. The record is from RNAcentral.
GCCACUGCUAUUGGGGUUCGGCUAAGCCAUGCGAGUGGAGGGCGUCCCGCAAGGGAUGGCCCCGCAGACGGCUCAGUAACACGUCGUCAACCCACCUUAGGCUGGGGGACAACCUCGGGAAACUGAGGAUAAUCCCCCAUAGGCGGGGGAGGCUGGAAUGCGCCCCCGCUGAAAGCUCAGGCGCCCUAGGACGGGACGGCGGCCUAUCAGGUAGUUGGUGGUGUGACG